Papaver somniferum (opium poppy) is the source of this 3063-nucleotide long non-coding RNA. RefSeq lists it as uncharacterized. The record is from RefSeq and is a predicted model, not a curated record. NCBI's taxonomy places the organism in Eukaryota, Viridiplantae, Streptophyta, Magnoliopsida, Ranunculales, Papaveraceae. The transcript has 2 exons.
UUAGAACUUUGUUCUUCUACAGGCUGUGUUCUUUUGAACUCAGAGGCUUGAUUAUCACGAAUCAAGAGAGGUUUAUCCUCAAUCUAUCCACCCAACCUUGUCACUGUACUUAGGUACAUGACAAUUGGUAUCAAGAGCCGUCUUUCCUGAGAAAUCAUGGUUGAUGGGAUGAAUUUACAUGAAGAAAAAUGGGUACAAAUGAAGGGAAAAUUGGUACCCAUAGUGAAGUUGGAACAACUAGAAACGGAGAAAUUAGACUGGUAUCGGUGUCACUUUGAAAAGAGUAUAUCUCUAGGUCGAGAAUACUCCAUUCGGAGGUGGUCAAAAUUGAUGAACAAGGCGUUGAAGAAAUUGAAAUCAAUCAUGUUUAUUAGGUAUACUUCUCCAGCUCAUAAACCUCCUUUUAGAGUGAAAAGAGAUUCUACAGAUAUUUGUGACUCUUCCGAUGAGUUGAUUCCUUCUUAUUUCUUUGAAGAAAUGGUUGAUUCAACAAAAAGUUUGAGUUCUCAAGCUAAAGAAGUUUCAACCGUGGAUAAAUCAGUUCACCCCACUGUCGAUGAACUAAAAGAUGAUUCAAUUGAUGUCGUGAGUUUCAAUUUAAAGAAAUCGGCAAAGCUGAAGUGAGUUAUUUCGAUAGCAAGAAUCAUGUUCAAGUGGUUGAGGUUAGUUUAAUCAUUCUUUACAACAAAUUGAAAUGUCAGAGUUGUUUUCAUAUUGGUCUUGAUGAGUUUAGAAUCAUUUUUGAUCGUGGUAAGUAUACAGUGGUACAACUGUAUUAUUAUUUUGGAAAAUUGAUUCUUAGCCUUGUUCAAUUCAGAUUUUGGAUUUCUAUAUUUGAUAAUUCCCCUGUGUGUUCAUGAUACUGAAAUUUCUGUGGAUGGGAAGCUGCUUGCUAAAAUGCCUGAAGGUGUAACUUGGAAUUUGGAGAAUGAUAGAGAUGAUUUUCUCUUACAACUUCAACAAGUGUGGGGUGCAUUAAGAAGGCUCGUCCAUGGUCUGUUCAAGUGCUUGAAAUUCAGGGAGCAGAAAUUUUUUUCUUACAGCUCAAGUGUGUGUUGCUUGAGGUGAGUUCCAAGUUACUAAUGGAUGAUUAUUCCUUACUUUCCUUCGAUUCUCUGCGUAGAAUGUUUGAUCGUGGGAAAGGAUUUCAACUUAUUAAGGGGUUAUUUUUUUUGUUGGUGAUUAUUAAUAUUAUUUUGAUACAAUUACUUCUGGUGUGAUUGUUCUUCUGGUGUACUGUUUCGAGUUGUUAUUUGAGUAUAUAACUGUAUACUUGUUUAAGAACGGUGAUCAUGGGCUCGACUCAGAUUCAUUGUGGUGUGAUUCAAUUCCCUUGGUGUUGGUUAAAUCGGGUGAUACUGGUACUAGCAGUGGGCUAUUUUUUCAAAUAUCAGAGAGUAGAAUUUUGAGACUUCGAUUGAUUAUAGUAGUGGAACAUGACAAGGCACUAGAAAUGGAAGCUCUCAUGUUUGAGAUUGUCGUGUGGAAUUUGGAGGACGGGGUGCUUGUUUUUAUCCUGAUUGGCCCCCGAUUAAGUUGUCAAGUCAAGUGAUUCACUCCUUGGACUCGGCUAGUAAUUCUGUGGUGAUCUAUUUCUAUUCUCUUAUGCUGUUUUUCUCAUUAUGUCCCAACGAGUUCAACAUUUUAAGAGGGGAGUUAUCUGUGCAUUAUCUUUUACCAGCACCUUCUGUCUAUAUUUAUCUGAUGACAGCGUGAACUCAGAUCUUAGUCGUGGUAUUUCAGAUUCUUAAAAUGUUGCCGUCAGUAGGAUACUUGAGGUGGAAGUUCAGAUUGGUUCCACAUGUGUUGUGUAUUGUGCGAAACAUUAAUUGGAUUGAUAAAAAUUUCAUCUCAGUGUUGUGUUCAGGGUUUAAGUGGGAUACUGCAUCCUGGAACUCAGUCGUCGUUCAGGUCCUACAAGAUUAUGAGGUCGAGAAGGCACAAGAGGGAUUCGAUAGACUACAUGGUAGUAUUUUGUGCAUUUUUAGUAGAAGUGCAGAAUUCUUACGUUUGUGGCUUCCAACUACAAUCUAUUAUGGGGUCUGUAAAGUGCAACUUCGAGCUUCUUCUUAUCAUGCGCUGCUGCCUUUGGAUGCUUGCGUUCCUCCCAAUUAUGCUUGUUAUCGAAUGUUGUUUGAUCGAGGUAAAAUUGCUGGGAUGAAAUUGUUGUUCGUAGCUUCAAACACCCCCACAUACUUAAUGGACGUAUCUAGCCGAACUGUUCUUAGCACAAACAAUUACCUAAAUGAGAUGGUAGAACUUCAAAUUGCAUUACAGUUGGGGGUCUCCUCGAGAUGGACACUUGAAGCACAUUCUAAUACUAAUCUCGACUGUGUACUGAUGAGAAUUCCUGGUCAGACUUGUAUUUUUAAUGGGAGGGUCCCAAGUUCAUUCCACACUGAAGUUUUCAAGCACCGAAAGGUUCACUCUAGGUUUACUGCCAUGUGUUUUGUUCCUUGUCAAUUUAUCUAAGCUACACAGCUGACGAGACAGCUACAUUUUCCCAUGGUAUACAAAGUCAAGACUAAUGCAAGUGGUGCUUCUAUUGGUGCCUCCUCAACAAAGAUUUACAAAGACAAUGGGCCAGUUUACCUUGGGGGAAGAAAUACUCGGGAGUUAACUCUACAGGUUCAUUUUGAGUGUGUAAUUACUACUUUGGGAAUCACAUGUAGUCUACCAAGACGUCAGUCAAAGGCUGGGCUUGGUAUGUAGGUGUUUAUGGAUCUCAUAUUGGAUUUCAGUGGCAUUAUGAGUUCUGGUCUUUUGAUGCGUGCCUUUCCAAUUGUCGGGCUGAUUCUUUUCACUUCCAUCCUUGAGGACAAGGAUGUUUUCAAGGGGAUUGGAAUGUCAUGUACCUGUUAAUGAAUGGGAGUGCCCAUAUCUUAUAUUAGACUGUAGUUAGCUUAAUUAGUGUUAACUGUAACAGGUGGUUGAGAUGUAACCACGCGGCGGGUUAGUGAUCGUUAGAUAUUUGAGAGAGAAACCUAGAUAUAUAAGCUAGGGAUGCUGUAAUGAAACUCUUAUCAAAUUAUUAAUCCAAAUUAGAACUUUGUUCUUCUACAA